This is a small nucleolar RNA of Tachyglossus aculeatus (Australian echidna), 138 nucleotides long. The record is from RefSeq and is a predicted model, not a curated record. NCBI's taxonomy places the organism in Eukaryota, Metazoa, Chordata, Mammalia, Monotremata, Tachyglossidae.
ACCCUCUCAGGGUCUUGCCUGUAGAGUUUCCAGUACUGUACCAGUCUUGACUUCGGGAGGGAGAAUCAAGCAGAGGUCUAUCCAUUCCAUUCCUAGCUUGGGCAGUGGCUAGCGAGUGGAAGGCAAUCUGCUACAAGU